Molecule: non-coding RNA, 511 nt
Organism: Podarcis lilfordi (Lilford's wall lizard)
Lineage: Eukaryota; Metazoa; Chordata; Lepidosauria; Squamata; Lacertidae
Source: the annotation of a GenBank genome assembly
UUUAUUCUGCUCGUCCUUGUAUUAUAAAAUAUAACUGAAAGUAAUAAUAAAACUAUUAUUGAUUGAUUAAUCAUAAGCCUCCGCCCCUCACCCUAAGGUUCCAGAGCGGGUUACAAUGAAAGCAAAACAUUAAAUACAGUUUAAAACCAUUUAUGAAAAUUCUCUUCUGCAGGUCUCCUAGCCAAAAUUCCCGCGAGCUAAGAUGGCGGCGUCCGGGGCAACCUCAGCGCCAGCACCCACGAUGGCGGCAACUCCCGCUUCUCAAGAACAUCACUGAAGGGCCCGCCAAAGCAACAUGAGGCCUUCUUAAGUCAAGCUCAGCGCCAGCAUCCGAUAUGGCGGCGUUAGGAUUUAAGACUCGACAAGAGCUCGAGGCUAAUUUUCAGACAGGCAAUGGCAGCUUUCCACUUCCACAGAACUUUUGCCUCAGGCGAGCUUGAAAGCCACUUCACUCUAAUUUAAUUGCUAUUUAAUCGCAUUUAUUGUGUACCUUGCUGCUGCAUUAUUAACU